This 934-nucleotide long non-coding RNA is filed under the name Mytilus galloprovincialis (Mediterranean mussel). The record is from RNAcentral. Lineage: Eukaryota; Metazoa; Mollusca; Bivalvia; Mytilida; Mytilidae.
GAACCUGUCAGCAAAAUGUAUAGACUCAACUUCCAUAGUAUAUGAUAGAGGGAAGACAUUUUUAAGAAGUAAUACGCCAUGUUAGCAAGUUAGAUUAGAAAUGGGGUACCUUCACUUAGACAUCCUUUUAAAAUUACAUUUUCAUAUCCAAUAAUCACACAUUGUAUAACAAAAUAUAUAAUAAUAAAUGACUAAUAUAUCCAAUACCAAUAUGUUUUUGUAUAUAUAUAUAUUUUAAAACAGUUUAUACACACUGAACUUCAUAGAACAUAUGAACAGUCAAAAGCAGUAAUCACUGGUAAUGGGUGGAUUUCAAAAUCUGUGGUUAAUAGUGGUGCAUACAUAGUGUAAAUAAAUGGCCAUGGUAUUGUUAGCUACAUCCUUACAGAUACUUAUAAUUUAAAUAACCCUCUUGGUAACUGAAGUCACUAAAAGGGAAAUAUGUUCAAAGUUGAACCAAUACUAUAAUAUCAAUUUGGUUUCUUUUUUGUUCUGUUUUUCAUGACAAAAUGCCACGGUAUUUGAACAAAUAUUUAGUAUUAAGGAUUUUAUCAUAGAAAAGGGUUGUGAGAGACAAACAAGAGAAGAUUAUGGAUAAGAAAAUUAAGAAUAAUGAUAUUGUUAUGGUCAUAAAUGUUAUUUCAGGCUAAGGUUUUCUGUACAGUCAUAAAAAGGAUAAAUUAUCAAAUAUGUUUUGCCAUAAAAAUGCUUGAUGCCAAUCAUUACCCUUUUCCAUGAAGUAUUUGGUUUUAGAUGACAUUGAAUUGAUUAAUUUUUGAGUUUGUUAAGCAUAAACUCUAUGUCAGCACUUUGAGCAAAGCAUACAGUCGAUUCGUCACUUAAUGGUAUAAUUUCAAUACAUCUCAGAAAAAUGAGGUAUCAGACAGAAUUAAAAUAUUUUGAAGGCUAAAUGAACAAAAUGAUGUAAAAAAUC